CGGCGUGCCUAAUACAUGCAAGUCGAGCGGAAUGAUGAAGAAGCUUGCUUCUUCUGAUUUUAGCGGCGGACGGGUGAGUAACACGUGGGCAACCUACCUUGUAGAUUGGGAUAACUCCGGGAAACCGGGGCUAAUACCGAAUAAUCCAUUUUGCUUCAUGGCGAGAUGUUAAAAGGCGGCUUCGGCUGUCACUACGAGAUGGGCCCGCGGCGCAUUAGCUAGUUGGUAGGGUAAUGGCCUACCAAGGCGACGAUGCGUAGCCGACCUGAGAGGGUGAUCGGCCACACUGGGACUGAGACACGGCCCAGACUCCUACGGGAGGCAGCAGUAGGGAAUCUUCCACAAUGGACGAAAGUCUGAUGGAGCAACGCCGCGUGAGUGAAGAAGGUUUUCGGAUCGUAAAACUCUGUUGUAAGGGAAGAACACGUACGAGAGUAACUGCUCGUACCUUGACGGUACCUUAUUAGAAAGCCACGGCUAACUACGUG
Molecule: ribosomal RNA, 488 nt
Filed under: uncultured bacterium
Lineage: Bacteria
Description: bacterial SSU rRNA
Rfam family: Bacterial small subunit ribosomal RNA
Source: RNAcentral